Molecule: Y RNA, 112 nt
Organism: Meleagris gallopavo (turkey)
Lineage: Eukaryota; Metazoa; Chordata; Aves; Galliformes; Phasianidae
Rfam family: Y RNA
About the family: Y RNAs are components of the Ro ribonucleoprotein particle (Ro RNP), in association with Ro60 and La proteins. The Y RNAs and Ro60 and La proteins are well conserved, but the function of the Ro RNP is not known.
Source: Ensembl
GACUGGUCCGAUGAUAGUGGGAUGUCUCAAUUGAUUGUUCACAGUCAGUUACAGAUUGAUCUCCUUGUUCUCUCGUUCCCCCCUUCCCACUACUGCACUUGACUGGUCUUUU